Molecule: long non-coding RNA, 866 nt
Organism: Rosa rugosa (rugosa rose)
Lineage: Eukaryota; Viridiplantae; Streptophyta; Magnoliopsida; Rosales; Rosaceae
Exons: 3
Source: RefSeq, a predicted model, not a curated record
AGGCACGGACACAAGGGUGUGCUAAGGUAUGCUGCAGCACACCCCAAGAUUUUGGGGGAAAAAAAUUAAUAUAUGUAUAGUUGUAUACCGAAGUAGCUCCAGACUUUCGCUUCUGGACGUCCACAGAGCUAGUUUGGGGGGAAGAAAAGUCAACAUAUACAUAAUUAAUAUAUGUAUAAUUAACACUCUUGAAAGAACCUUCUUGUUCCCACUGUUGUUCAUCACCCAUAGUUUUGGUUCUUCUAUAAUUAAUAUAUCAUUUUCUCUCUUUCUCUAUCCUCUCUGUGCUCUCGUCCUCACAACCUUUUCACCCUUUCUCUGUUCUGCGUUUCUCAAGCUCAGAGCCUCAGACUCUCACCUCUCUCUACCAAGUCACUCUUAUCUCCUCUCCUCAAUAAUCUGCUCUCAUCUCUCAACCUUAUUCAGGUUUUGUUUUUAAUGACAGAUCAACCUCAAAAUCCUAAGCCACGAAAAGUUCAGAAGAAAGUAAAUUCAUAUUUUCUGAAAAAUGAUGUUGUUAUGGGUGAUAUUCCAAGUUCGGUUGUGGAAGAACCUUCUUGUUCUGUACGAGUUGAGUCUCAUGAAAUUGAUGUUAAUCACAUUGAACGUGAUCCGGGAAAACGCCCUGCAAUCUCGUCAUAUCCUAUUAAUGAGCGUGAUGAAGUUCAAAGAAAAUAUAUGAGUUUUAUGCUUCAGAUUUGGGUGACAAAAUGCAUCUUGUGGAUCAUAUUUUGACAAGUGUUAUGCAAUUGAGAUAUUCCAUCAAAACAAAGUAAACUCUGCCAAAUUUUUGAGAAUAAUUUUUCUUGCCAGCAUAAGGUAAAUUUAGCACACCUCAAAUUUAAUUCCUGGUUCCGUGCCUGUGU